RNAcentral lists this transfer RNA (86 nucleotides) under Gulosibacter molinativorax. Its description in RNAcentral is "tRNA-Leu". It matches the Rfam family "tRNA". From Rfam's summary of the family: Transfer RNA (tRNA) molecules are approximately 80 nucleotides in length. Their secondary structure includes four short double-helical elements and three loops (D, anti-codon, and T loops). RNAcentral also lists the same sequence under 1 other name. The record is from RNAcentral. Lineage: Bacteria; Bacillati; Actinomycetota; Actinomycetes; Micrococcales; Microbacteriaceae.
GCGCGGAUGGCGGAAUUGGUAGACGCGCUAGCUUGAGGUGCUAGUGACCGCAUUAGGUCGUGGGGGUUCAAGUCCCCCUUCGCGCA